AAUGAGGAAGAGAGAGAGCUUUAAUCAGAGAAAGAAAGCAAUUGAAGGCCACACAGCUAUAAUCAGAGAAAGAGAGAAGAUGACAGAGGCAAAAAAGAGGCAGGAGAUGGCAGAAGAGGAAAGAAGGAAGAUUGAGAAUUACAAGAGGGGUGAGUUAGAGAAGCCUGAAGAGGAGGAGAAGAACCCUGAAGAGAAGGAGGACGACAAGGAGGACCUCUCCCCAGCCAAUAAAAGUAUCAGAAGGAAAGCACUGGGUGAAUAGGAAGUGGGAGAAGAGGAACCUCAAAAAGACAGAGAAUGUAUCAGAGAGAGGAGGAGGGCUAUGAGAUCAUCAACAUAGGCCGGUGGUAGCUGGUCCGCUGCAGGAAAAUGAGGUACGGGAGGUCCCUCCACCCCCCUGGACAUCGGGGGCCCCCGGCGUACACAGUCCGGUCCAUCUUGGACUCCAGACGCCGGGCGAGGGGCCUGCAGUACCUCGUGGACUGG
Molecule: long non-coding RNA, 486 nt
Filed under: Salmo salar (Atlantic salmon)
Lineage: Eukaryota; Metazoa; Chordata; Actinopteri; Salmoniformes; Salmonidae
Description: lncRNA (ENSSSAG00000084232.1, ENSSSAG00000099528.1)
Source: RNAcentral